AAUUUUUUUAAUCAGAAUUGUGGCUCUUCUAAAGAAGGUUCAUACAGAAACGGCAGGGCCCCAUGAUAAACAGCCAUUGUUAGGGCCAGAAGAGCUAAAACCAGAGUACGACGCAGUACUAAAAAUAAUAUAUAAAAUACGUCCAUUUAAAGCGAAUAGAACUGAACAAUUGCCGUGUAAGCAGCACUGCUGCCUAUACUCGACUGAGCCAUUAAUUGGAACACCGACGCAUUGUGCGCCUUGAAACUCUAGCGCAGGCUUCGCCCCAGGCUAGGCCGCACUACAGGCCUGACAAAUGCAGAGUACCGGCAGCCGGCAUGUAGCGCCGGACCCAAGCAUUCCCCAUCGCUAUCACAUAUUACCAGAUCACGAUGCACCUACCUGCGGAAGUCGCAGCAAAAUGCCGGCUGCCUGGACCAACUCGCAGCCCACACAGCGAAGGUCGAUCUCGGUAUUCACGUCUAUACCAUCCACGACGGACGGUGUUAAGGCGCACCUCUCCUCCGCCAUCAGGCAGUUUUCCAACGAAAUCAUCACGCCCGAGUACAGCUUAUCACCGAUAAGAAUUCCAUCGGAAGAGACAGCGCUGGAAUUAGCAGCCAUCUUCUUUUCUUCCAUUGACUUAGUUUGCAAGCCGGCGCUCCCAGUCUCCUCUUUAGAAAAUAUCGGCGCCUCUCCCUGCUACGUGCCAAUUGGCUGUUAGAACUAUCGCCUCUACGCUGAUUGACCGAACAGUCUGUCAAUCAAUUCUUUGUGCUUGAAGAACUCCUUUGACGUCGGAAAAUGUGCCCCCAGCUGUUUUUCGCAAGCGCCUCCCAUUUCCGCAAGAGUGACAUAAACAGGAGGAACCAAAAAUAAGAGAGGACGUCAUGUUCUGUAUGACACGUUUGUGGGAGGCUAAGCCUGUUUACAGGAAAUACAGGCAGGGCUUCAUAUGUGUGUCUUCGUGUAGUUCCAGUUUUAAAGCAAUUGAAUGAUUAAAAGAGAGUAAACGGG
Xenopus tropicalis (tropical clawed frog) is the source of this 996-nucleotide long non-coding RNA. RefSeq lists it as uncharacterized. The record is from RefSeq and is a predicted model, not a curated record. The transcript has 2 exons. Lineage: Eukaryota; Metazoa; Chordata; Amphibia; Anura; Pipidae.